RNAcentral lists this ribosomal RNA (243 nucleotides) under uncultured bacterium. Its description in RNAcentral is "partial 16S ribosomal RNA". It matches the Rfam family "Bacterial small subunit ribosomal RNA", at positions 8 to 244 of the family's 1533-position model. The record is from RNAcentral.
AGAGUUUGAUCCUGGCUCAGGAUGAACGCUAGCGGCAGGCUUAACACAUGCAAGUCGAGGGGCAGCAUAAUGGAUAGCAAUAUCUAUGGUGGCGACCGGCGCACGGGUGCGUAACGCGUAUGCAACCUACCUUUAACAGGGGGAUAACACUGAGAAAUUGGUACUAAUACCCCAUAACAUCAUGAAAGGCAUCUUUUAUGGUUGAAAAUUCCGAUGGUUAGAGAUGGGCAUGCGUUGUAUUAG